UUUGUUUUACACACACAAUGGUGUUUUGUCGUAUUCUAAGCUAGGGAUCCGAUGUGUCAUCUGGAAUAGUUGUGGAAGCAUUAGACAACAACUCGAAUUGUUCUUCUUAAGGGAGGGAGGGAGGAUAGGCUGAAAGAUGAGGGUGAAGGACCGAAACCCGUUUCUGAAGUCUAUUGUGAUUCUGUUUCUUUACAACUUACCGUGUUUGUUUGUGCGUGCUCGAUGUCUUGUCCAGAUCCAUGUGCCAAAGCCCAAUUAAGGUUACAUAAUGGGUGCCUCUAGCUAUCUGUGUGAAGAUGGUUAAGAAGCGGUUUAUGAAAUUCUACAACAAGUCAACAACCAUUCUAUAUCAUUAAGAGGCAGCAACAGGUUGGUUGAGGUAGAUGCAAUGUUUGCAAAACGACCAUCUGACCCAUUCAAAUUUUAGAGCUUUUGUGCUCAUUUUUUGUGAAGUUGAAUAUGAUUGAUUCCUUGUACGUAUUUGUAUCAUAGUAUACAUGAAAUUAUUAACUGUGAACACUAGCUAGCAAUAAAUGAUUCAUUUCAC
This 547-nucleotide long non-coding RNA is filed under the name Helianthus annuus (common sunflower). RNAcentral describes it as "sRNA HanXRQr2_Chr02g0046211". Lineage: Eukaryota; Viridiplantae; Streptophyta; Magnoliopsida; Asterales; Asteraceae. The record is from RNAcentral.